RNAcentral lists this transfer-messenger RNA (340 nucleotides) under Lachnospiraceae. Its description in RNAcentral is "Lachnoclostridium_A avicola Standard tmRNA". It matches the Rfam family "transfer-messenger RNA". Rfam says of the family: Bacterial tmRNA, also known as 10Sa RNA or SsrA, is named for its dual tRNA and mRNA-like properties. Lineage: Bacteria; Bacillati; Bacillota; Clostridia; Lachnospirales. RNAcentral also lists the same sequence under 1 other name. The record is from RNAcentral.
GGGGCAGUACUGGUUUCGACAGGGGCCAUGCAGCUGGUGAAGCUAUCCGUAUGCAAUGCGUUAAAUGGCAAACCUAAAUAUAAACGCUGAAGAUAAUUUAGCAAUCGCUGCUUAAUUGCAGCUGUCAGCCUUAGAGCACUCACACUUUAAGUUCCUGGCAUCGACCAUGUGAGAAACGACGUAUGCAAAGCUUUGCGCAUGCGGGCGUAUGAUGAAGCUACUGAAACCGUCAGAAUGUCUGUUUUCGGGCGGCAGAGGGAAUGACAAAGAACAGACUAUGAUAGUAGAAGAACAGGGAAUUGGUUUUUGGACACGGGUUCAAAUCCCGUCUGCUCCACUU